This 447-nucleotide ribosomal RNA is filed under the name uncultured bacterium. Its description in RNAcentral is "bacterial SSU rRNA". It matches the Rfam family "Bacterial small subunit ribosomal RNA", at positions 330 to 793 of the family's 1533-position model. The record is from RNAcentral.
CCCAGACUCCUACGGGAGGCAGCAGUGGGGGACAUUGCACAAUGGGGGGAACCCUGAUGCAGCGACGCCGCGUGGGUGAAGGAGUAUUUCGGUAUGUAAAGCCCUAUCGGCAGGGAAGAAGCAAGACGGUACCUGACUAAGAAGCCCCGGCUAACUACGUGCCAGCAGCCGCGGUAAUACGUAGGGGGCGAGCGUUAUCCGGAUUCACUGGGUGUAAAGGGAGCGUAGACGGCCAGACAAGUCUGAGGUGAAAAUCCAGCGCUUAACGUUGGAAGUGCUUUGGAAACUGCCGGGCUAGAGUGCAGGAGGGGCAGGCGGAAUUCCUAGUGUAGCGGUGAAAUGCGUAGAUAUUAGGAGGAACACCAGUGGCGAAGGCGGCCUGCUGGACUGCAACUGACGUUGAGGCUCGAAGGCGUGGGGAGCAAACAGGAUUAGAUACCCCAGUAA